This 1344-nucleotide ribosomal RNA is filed under the name uncultured bacterium. Its description in RNAcentral is "bacterial SSU rRNA". It matches the Rfam family "Bacterial small subunit ribosomal RNA", at positions 8 to 1363 of the family's 1533-position model. The record is from RNAcentral.
AGAGUUUGCUUCUGGCUCAGGACGAACGCUGGCGGCGUGCCUAACACAUGCAAGUCGAACGGAAGUUAGAGCUUCGGUUUUAACUUUAGUGACGAACGGGUGAGUAACGCGUGAGGAACCUGCCUUUCAGUGGGGGACAACAGUUGGAAACGACUGCUAAUACCGCAUAAUGUUAUCGGAUGGCAUCAUCUGAUAACCAAAGAUUUAUUGCUGAAAGAUGGCCUCGCGUCUGAUUAGCUAGUUGGUGAGGUAACGGCCCACCAAGGCGACGAUCAGUAGCCGGUCUGAGAGGAUGAACGGCCACAUUGGGACUGAGAUACGGCCCAGACUCCUACGGGAGGCAGCAGUGGGGAAUAUUGGGCAAUGGGGGAAACCCUGACCCAGCAACGCCGCGUGAAGGAAGAAGGCCUUCGGGUUGUAAACUUCUUUUACCAGGGACGAAGAACGUGACGGUACCUGGAGAAAAAGCAACGGCUAACUACGUGCCAGCAGCCGCGGUAAUACGUAGGUUGCAAGCGUUGUCCGGAUUUACUGGGUGUAAAGGGCGUGUAGGCGGAGAUGCAAGUUGGGAGUGAAAUCCCGGGGCUCAACCCCGGAACUGCUUUCAAAACUGUAUCCCUUGAGUGUCGGAGAGGCAAGCGGAAUUCCUAGUGUAGCGGUGAAAUGCGUAGAUAUUAGGAGGAACACCAGUGGCGAAGGCGGCUUGCUGGACGAUAACUGACGCUGAGGCGCGAAAGCGUGGGGAGCAAACAGGAUUAGAUACCCUGGUAGUCCACGCUGUAAACGAUGAAUGGUGGGGGUGGGAGGAGUGGCCCCUUCCGUGCCGCAGUUAACACAAAAAGUAUUACACCUGGGGAGUACGACCGCAAGGUUGAAACUCAAAGGAAUUGACGGGGGCCCGCGCAGGCAGUGGAUUAUGUGGUUUAAUUCGACGCAACGGGAAGAACCUAACCAGGAUUUGACAUCCAACUAACGAAGUAGAGAUACAUUAGGUGCCCUUCGGGGAAAGUUGAGACAGGUGGUGCAUGGUUGUCGUCAGCUCGUGCUGUGAAGUGUCGGCUUAAGUGCCAUAACGAGCGCAACCCUUGCCGUCAGUUGCCAUCAGGUUAAGCUGGGGACUCUGGCGGGACUGCCACCGCAAGGUGUGAGGAAGGGGGGGAUGACGUCAAAUCAGCACGGCCCUUACGUCCGGGGCGACACACGUGUUACAAUGGUGGGUACAGAGGGAAGCUACCAGGCGACUGGAUGCAGAUCUCGAAAACCCAUCCCAGUUCGGAUUGGAGUCUGCAACCCGACUCCAUGAAGUUGGAUUCGCUAGUAAUCGCGCAUCAGCCAUGGCGCGGU